UGGCACAAGGAGCUUGGGGUAGGACAGCGGUCCUGGAGUGGGGCAAGGAACUUGGGGUGCGACACCGAACUUGGGGUGGGAGAGGUCCCCAGGGGCAGGCAGGGUCCCCAGGGAUCAGGCCAGACCCCUUGUGGUAGGACAGUGUCCCCUAAAUCAGAGGGUCCCCAGGGUCAGGCGGGAUCCCUGGGGUCAGACAAGGUCCAUAGUGGGACAGUGGCCCUGGGGCUGAGGUCAGGUAGGGUUCUCAGCGCAGCAGGACAGGGCGCAGGGUGCAGAGAGGUGAAGGAUGCCAUCCUGGUGCUCUGGGCAUCCCGAGGCCGGUGUGGAGCAGCGCCCGGGGCCCAGCUCGUGCGGCAGCGGGGAUCCCUCGGCUGCAGCGGCGGCUCCUGGCAGCCGGCUGGUCUCAGGGCAGCGGGUUUUGGCAGAGCGGUGAUGUGGUUCGUUAGCCCAAGGGAAACAGCUGGGGAAUGGUCUUUGGUGGUAGAACUGGUUAACGCAACUAGUCACGCUCUGAGCUAUUGUUCUCCACUGGUAUUCAGCUUUGCAGACUUCUGCUUCUAUUUCAGGCCUGCUGGAGGGCUCAUGUACCCAACAGCCUGCCUGUUUUUUCUUCUAAUUAUUUCAGUCAGUCUAAAAAAAGAUUAUCACCUCCCUCGGCAAACCUUGCCUCCAUUGUUCUCAGCAAAGAAGAUAAGAAGGAAAGGAGAAGAAAAGUCUCAACACCCAUUACCACCAGGUUAAAUGUUCUUCUGCAUGGGUAUGGCAAUUACUGGGAGGAAAACCAGGACACAGCUCCUGCUAACCAGGGGUAGAAGAGAUACAGAAGCAUCCAUCAGGGCUGGCUGACCUGUCCUGCAGGGCCAGGGGUUAAUGGAGGAGCUGGGAAUCACCCUGGGACUCGCCAGGAUUUGAAAUGAGAAAUCCUGGUGCUGUCAAGGCGCGUUGACAGGGAAAUGAUUGCCAUGUCAGCAGAAAGACAUCCCCCAUGGGGAGGGGGGGGAAAGCUGCUAAUAGAUGCGCCUGUGAUGAAUCUGGGUUUUGACAAGAGGCUGAGGUGCUGAAUGCACUCAGAAAAGCAAAGGGAGGAUGGACGGGGUCUGACUGGCCAUCACUGAUAUGAGUGGGGAGAGGAAAGCAGGAUGGGGGGGAAUGCAUCAUGCCUGUCCAUCACUGUCAGGGCAUUGCUCAGGCACCACACUCACCCUCCCUCUCCUCUCGCCCACAGGGGUUUGGGGUAGGACCCCCCUGUUUGCUCCACUUGCACAGAGCUGCAAGAGCAGCAGGGGCCGAGCCAAGACCGGAGCUCCGAAGAGCAACUACGCACAAAUAAUUAUUAAUGAUAAUUAGUAAGUACACACUGAUGGCAUCUUCUUCGUACCAGCUCUGCUCCAGGUUUGGCAAAGGCUCUGGUCUCGCCGAGAUGAUCCCCUUGUUGUGUAAACAUUUUCUGUGGCCUCCCCUGCUCCUCCUCUGUGGCCGAGAGCCAAACUGGGCAAAAAAAAUGCUGCUACAAGCACCAGCGAUGGCAUGGAGGGGCCUGGCCAGAGGCUGAGGGGUUGUGAGCAUCCUUCAGAUUUCUCCUUUACCUGGCACAACAGGCACCUCUGAAAGAUUUGACCAGAAAAUCGUGGCUGGCCAUCGUCAUUCAGGGCUGUUGCCCAGCCAGGGUUAGCUCUCUGUUGCCUAACACCAGGUGAGAGCUGGUUUAAAAACAUGUUUUCAUUGUUUCAUUUUCUGAGCCACUAUAAUGGAGCUUCAGGUGAGGAGUGGGAGCAUCCCAGCUUACCCACAGCCUUCUUCAGUGGGGAUGUGAGAGCAAGGCAGGGUGUGGCAGCGCCAAGCUUGGCUCCGGGAUGGUGCCAGCCAUCACAAAAUGAACUCUUGCAAAAAGCCUUUUAGCCAGGCUUUUAAAAUGACCAAAAAAGCCCCCAGAGCACUAGAAAUGUUGUUCAGUAUUCUGUUUCCUGGCAGGGCUGGGGGAGGUGAGGGGAAAACUCUGGCUUUACAGAUAAGGUGUGGGCUGUGGUUCCGAUUCUUGUGGAAAAUUUUAAUUUAAGUGAAAAAGUAAAGAAUAUUUUUAGCAUGCCAUCAAUGUGCAUGUGAGGACAUGUGUGCCGUAAGAGCGUGCAAUGCAGAGGUCGCAUCCUUGUGAUUAUCAGAUGUCCUCACCCUUGCAGGUAGACCCAGAAAGAGGCACUGUCACCCUGCGGCAGGAAUACAGGAGCAGCUGCUGUGGGGGGACCUGUUGCCUGCAAGAGGAUGCUCAUUGCACGAGAACAUGUAGGCUGGUGCAAAAAUGCUGUGGGGCGAGGCAGGGGCAUGCAUCUGCGGUCGGGGUCAGACUGCCCCUUUGGGAUGGGACGUGCUGCCAGACCGUUGUCGUCUACAGUGAAGAGGGGGUGCAAUGCUGCUCCAGCAAAGUGAAAUGGAGUCAGAAGUGACACCGAGGAGGCUGGGCUGGCAGGGAGCUCCGGCUCCUGCAUCCUGCCUGAGGUACCUCGUGACCAGGUCAGCCACCCACCUCAAAUGGCAAUAACCCAUCUCCAGGGCGCCAUGAAGGUCUUCCAAAGCCAGGGGUGUGCCCCAUGUCCUGCAGGCUAAACCACAUCCCUGUGUAAAUGGGCUUGGAGCAGCUUCCUGCGUCCCUCAUCGCAUCACCCCGUGCCUGGGGCAGUCGCCUCUGGACUUUCCCAACAGCUCUGCGGGUUCCUGGCCUCCACUGGUGUCUCUGGCAGUGGCCAAAUACACCAGAAAUAACCUCUGCUCUCGGCUGCUCUGGCAGGAAGGUGGGUUAUAAACACACUGACAGUUUGUUAGUGUUAGCGCUUGCCGGGCUUUCAAGCUGGGCUGAGUUUGGGGUGGGGGGGUGGCUUCCUGCACCUCAGCCCUGGUCUCCCACUGGCUCCCCACUCUGUCUAGGCAGGGGGACUCCCCAGAACACCUCUGCUCUGUGCACGUUGCUUUGAGGUGGUGAGGCUACAGCCCCAGAGGUGCUGGAGGGGCUUUUCUAGGUAACUUUAGGCAGCAUCUCUCGGUGCAUCUCAGCCACCAGCUUUCCUCCGUGCAAUGCAUGAAGUCAGUGGGGUCCUUCUGAAGCUGCUGGGAGAUAAAUAUAUAUAAAAAUAUAUUUAAAUAUAUAUAUAUAAAUGUGAUAAUACCCUCAGAAUCUGAUUUUGCUUGCUAUGGCAGGAAGCAAACCCUCAGAGAAGUGUAAUCUAGCAACAGUGGCACUAAUGACCCCACGCAAUACUGGGCUGGGCAUGCUCUUGCGCUCUGGGCCAUCUCUACCUGCCACCCUGCCUAAUUUCUGGGACCAAAUCCUGCUCCUGGUUGUGCCCAGCACCACCUCUAAGGCUGGCAGAUGCCCUCUGUACAUGCUGGCAGGGAGUAGCUGGGGACACGCCAACCAUCCCUGAGCAUGCAGGGACCUGCAGGUUUUGAAUACCGAUGAUUUGCACAGCAAGUGACCAUGGAGUUUGUCUAAAAUCAUGUGCUAAGUCAUUUGGAUGAGCACGAGGGGAACGCAGGGAAGCAGCAGAAGGGGUUAUGUUUAAAUCAAUAUUACAUUCAAAUCAAUAUUCUGAUUUAUGCUCCUGUCCUAACAAUGCCACCUUCCUUUGCCCCCUGAUUUGAGGGCACAGACCCCAGUGGCUGAGUCUGAGCCACCGUUUCUGUUGUGAACAUGGAUUUUGGCAGAUGUGCUGCAGGAUUUGGGCUGAGUUGUCCUGGGGGACGAGGAGGGGAGGAAGAAAAAAAGAAGCAACAACCUGACCAUGACUGUGGUCUGUGCACCAAUCAAGCUGGUAAGACCGGUGACACCUGAAAUUGGGUGUAAAAAGGAGUCUUGUCAGUUGCUCCUCACUGCUCACCUUUUUUUGGGGUUGCAGGAUGCUCUUUGCUGGCCUUGCUUCUUGCUCCCACCUUUCUCAGCACCUCUUGGGCCCAAGGCUUAGUCCUGGCUCCUUAGUUCCCGGCCCUGGUCAUUUGGGUGCAGCCUGGACCCUGUGCUGGGAUCUUCAGCUCCAGGAUGCAGCAUUGGCCAGCCCCAGGCCACCUCCCUACCUUAUCCUUCUGCAGGGUCCUCCAUCCCUGGUCCCUGCCUCCAUCCCUGGUCCCUGCUUCUUGUCCUCAGCCCACCUCAGUCUGAACCACCACAGUCUCACCAGCAGCCAUGGGGUCCUGCUCCUCUGCCCCGUGCCCAGAAAGAAACCUCAUGGCUGAAAUGCGCUGACCUCCUGCUGCUGCUUUUUAGGGAGUUGCCAAAAAUCCUGUUUCCUGGUGAGCUGACUGUGGGCUUCCAGUACCUCACCCUGCUUGAACGGAGCUGGGUGAGUGGUGGAGCAUGUCAAGGUACCUGCGGUGGUAGAGUGGCUUCAGGUGAGCAGCAUCAGUUGCUGAAUCCAGCCCUGGCUGGUGCUUUCAACAGGUUUUUUGCCCCACAGGGCUGGGGCUGCUCAGUCUGGCUGGACCCAUGCGGUCACAGCUGUUGGUGCUGUAUUUUCUUAGAUCCUCAUCUAAGGAAAGGAAAAUCCGCUUUCCUGAUGCAUGCGGUUUGGGUGUGAGAGACCAAGGCAGGAGAGAAGAUGCUGGCUGGUACCUCUGGGGGGAAACACCAGGAAGGAGGAAGAGUUGUUUAAGCUGAAAGACAAUGUUGGCACCAGAACAAAUGGGACUAAAACAGGACAGGAAUAAAUGGAGACUGGAAAUGAGGAGGGCUCUAAUCCUCUCAGAUGCUGCCACGGCUUCUCAGGAGGCGCAGUGGGGAUGGGAAAGCUUUGGGCAGUUUGAUCCCAGGGUGCUGGACUGGACCAAGCUCAUGGACCUGACGGGUCCGUGUCCCCUCAUGGCGCAGGAGGGAGCUGGUGCCUCUAAGCCCUCUGCAGCGGGUAGGGAGGGAGCAGAGCUGCUGCCCUGGAGCUGGAGACAUGCUUUCCGUGGCUAAUGUGAGGUUUUGAGGCUGGAGCUGGACCACUGGGUCUAAGCCAAACUCAGUCUGAGGCUUGCCCCACAACUCUGGGGGAUCAACCCACAAAGUGGGCAACUCUCCACCCGUGUAGCCUUCUGGUCUCUCUUACUCCUUCCCCAGGGGACUCGAUACAUCCAAUAUCUGCCAAGAAACCUGCUCAUCUCCAAAACCUCCAUGCCGUGGAGGGCUGUGGUGCUCCCAGCACGUGCCCAGCUGCAGUUUCCCUGUGUACGCUUGCACCUCACCCUGUGUGCAGGCUUUAGAGCUGUGAAAUGUGUGGAAAUGCUCUAUUUGUGUAAAUUUAUGUUUGAGAUUGUUCUCACAUAGGAUAGAUUUUGGGGUCACUGGAAAGGCACAUAGUCAAGCAGAGGGACCAUGUGACUCCCUGUGGAGUCGGCUGAGGCCAACGAUGCAAAAAUCCUGCAUGCUGGAAGUGAAAUACAGGAAUACAGAGGCCCUUCUGCCGAUACCAUCUAAAUGCAGUUGUUUAAGCUACUGCAUGUCACAAAAUAACCCAAAGGAAAUCUCUGCGGCAAAAAGUGUUUUCACAUAAGCAACUCGAAGCCUCAAUGGCCCUUGGCUACCAAUGCUGCCUUCAGCGCUCUUGCAAAAAUAUGAAAGCAAGUAAAUGUUUUAGUUUUUGAGUGCAAAUAGUUUGUGGUCAUUGAAUUUUUUUUCUCAUUCUAUGGUUAUAUGUCAUCUGAGCAGCAGCAUCCCAGCUCUGGGUUUUGGAUGUUUAAUUAUAGCUGGACUGAUAAGUUGGUGUGUUGGCUCUGAGGUGGGAGUGAGCUCAGGCAGUCGUGCCCCAGGUCCUAGAAAUUUGGAGUAAUAAAUCAGGGCAGAUGCAUCUCAAAGGCAGCAGCAGAUCCAGGGCAAUGCUCCAACUUCCCAGAGGCAGCUUGAGGGAUGUCCGGCUGCUGCCCAGUUGAUGGUGAUGAUGUUAGUGCAUGAAUUUAGUUGGAAAUUGAUGCUGGCACAUGAAUUUGGCAGAGAUGCAGUUGGUUAUUUGUGGCUGGAUUUGCAGGAAGCAUCAUGGGAAGCUCAUUUGGCUCAGGUUUGGUUUUGCCAAAAAAAAAACCCAACCCAAAACUCAAGAGUGACAAGAAGCCCUGAAGGCACCUACAGCCUCUGGAGCCCAGCAAGGUAAAAACUGUCUGGAGUGCUGUCAGGCACCCCCCAUUCAGUCUAACUGUACCGCAAAAUACUGUGUCUGAGACAUAGGAGCAAACCCAAAGUGUUCCUUUCGUUUGCUUUAGGUAGCAGAGGGAAACUGAUAUCUGCAUGGAAUGGCCUGGGAAAGCCACACGCUGCAGGUUGAAAAAAGGGAUUUUUCAUUUUGUGGCAGAAAUAUAAGGGGGGGGGAGGGAAGAGAGAAAAAAAAUCAAUUCAGAUUAAACUGAAACAAUGUGAUUUAUAAUUCUCCAAGUGUUCUGGUUUUAGAUCACCCCAGAAUAGUCAGUUUGACAAGAAAUGCAAAGUUCAUGUUUGUAGAUCAAUUAGUCCCUUCCUAAAACUUUAAAAAACCCCAAAACAUUUCCAAAUAUGAGGUCAAACCCCACCAUUCUUGACAAAGAUUCAAGAACAAAAGCUGGGUAUUUCUGAUGUGUUUUGUUUUAGGAACCCCAGAAGAAAUGUUUUGACAUUUCCAAACCAGCUUCUUUUUUAACUUCCAAAUAUUUCCAAAAUUUGCCUGAAAUCAGUAAAUAGCUUUGAAAACUACAGUGAGCAGGCAACCCGUAUCCUGCUGCUGGGGAAAGGCUGUGGUGUGGGAGCCCAGCAUCCCCAGUGAGUGCAUGGAGAGGCAACCUGCAGGUUUAUUAUCCAGGGAAAUGUGGGAUGUGGGUGCAAUUUGCCUGUCCAUGCCUUGUCAGGGCCACCUCCAGGUUUCCCUGAGGGUGCUGAUGGCCAAGAGCAUCCUUGGUCCCUGCUGCCAGUGCUUGGGUCCCUGCAGGAGAAGGCUGUGAAAGUCCUCUGGCUCCUGGAUCCAGGCUUCAGGGUGAUGCUCUCCCUGAAGAUGCCUCGCUCAGAGGCGGCAGACACCAGCUGAGCCUUGGGGUGAGCAGGGAGGGGGUGAGAUUUACGGCUGUGCUCUGGUUUUGGUGGUGACUUGGGAGGUAGGAUUGGAUCAAGUGGAUUCCAGGGAGAUUUACAGCGAGUAAACCCGUUCAUGUGAAGAGCUUAUCGCCUUGGCCUGUUGUACCUGAGACAGGUUUUGGAAAUAUUGCCCGUGGCUGAGCAGCAGAGACGAAGCGGGGAGUAUGAAACCUUCUCCUGGGAUGGGAUUUUCCUCCUGCCAAGUGUUCAUCCCUCCUUAACCCUGCGGCAAGGCAGCACAGGGACCACGAGUGCUUUGCAUCCCUCUCCCAGUGCUGCUGCCACCUCCCAGCCUUUCCAGCCAGGCUGGGAGCUUGGCAGCCGGUUGCCUGGCUUGCAGCCGUGCCGGUGUCCCACCUUAGUGACAAUCCAGCGCAGGCACAUGGAUGAAACAAGCUGUGUGCCUGGGAGAA
This is a long non-coding RNA of Falco peregrinus (peregrine falcon), 7473 nucleotides long. RefSeq lists it as uncharacterized. Lineage: Eukaryota; Metazoa; Chordata; Aves; Falconiformes; Falconidae. The record is from RefSeq and is a predicted model, not a curated record. The transcript has 3 exons.